AACGCACAUUGCGCCCUUCGGUUAUUCCUUAGGGCAUGCCUGUUCGAGCGUCAUUUCAACCUUCAAGCUCAGCUUGGUGUUGGGUGUUUGUCCCGCCCCCCGCGCGUGGACUCGCCUCAAAUUGAUUGGCAGCCGCAUCCCCCCGCCGCGAGCGCAGCACAGUCGCGCUUACGACGUGGGUGGGUCGGCGAUCCAGAAGCCUAUUUCAACGUCUUGACCUCGGAUCAGGUAGGGAUACCCGCUGAACUUAA
This 251-nucleotide unclassified non-coding RNA is filed under the name uncultured fungus. RNAcentral's name for it is "partial contains 5.8S ribosomal RNA, internal transcribed spacer 2, and large subunit ribosomal RNA". Lineage: Eukaryota; Fungi. The record is from RNAcentral. RNAcentral also lists the same sequence under 2 other names.